GACGAACGCUGGCGGCGUGCUUAACACAUGCAAGUCGAACGGAAAGGCCCUGCUUGCAGGGUGUUCGCGAGGCGCAAGGGUGUGUAACACGCGGGUGUAACCUCCCCUUCUCUGGGAUAUGACUUGGAGACUGGGGCUAUUAUUGCAUAUAAGAGCGCCUUCGGCGUUGUGGUGGUUAGAUUUUUUGCGGUUGGGGGUGGGCUCGCGGCUUAUCAGCUUGUUGGUGGGGUAGUGGGGUACAAAGGCGUUGAGGGGUAGCCGGGCUGAGAGGGUGACCGGCAACAUUGGGACUGAGAUGCGGACCAGACUACUACGGGAGGCAGCAGUGGGGAAUAUUGAACAAUGGGCGGAAGCAUGAUGCAGCAACGCGGCGUGCGGGAUGACGGCCUUCGGGUUGUAAACCGCUUUCGAUUGUGAAGAAGCGGGAGUGACGGUAAUGGGUAAAGAAGCACCGGCUAACUACGUG
Molecule: ribosomal RNA, 466 nt
Filed under: uncultured bacterium
Lineage: Bacteria
Description: partial 16S ribosomal RNA
Rfam family: Bacterial small subunit ribosomal RNA
Source: RNAcentral